RNAcentral lists this non-coding RNA (26 nucleotides) under Mus musculus (house mouse). Lineage: Eukaryota; Metazoa; Chordata; Mammalia; Rodentia; Muridae. The record is from RNAcentral.
UGGCCUGUAUAGGUACUGCAUGCACA